Molecule: transfer RNA, 74 nt
Organism: Herbaspirillum seropedicae SmR1
Lineage: Bacteria; Pseudomonadati; Pseudomonadota; Betaproteobacteria; Burkholderiales; Oxalobacteraceae
Rfam family: tRNA
About the family: Transfer RNA (tRNA) molecules are approximately 80 nucleotides in length.
Source: Rfam
GGAGUGGUAGUUCAGUUGGUUAGAAUACCGGCCUGUCACGCCGGGGGUCGCGGGUUCGAGCCCCGUCCGCUCCG